RNAcentral lists this transfer RNA (92 nucleotides) under Myxococcales bacterium. Its description in RNAcentral is "tRNA-Ser". It matches the Rfam family "tRNA". Rfam says of the family: Transfer RNA (tRNA) molecules are approximately 80 nucleotides in length. Their secondary structure includes four short double-helical elements and three loops (D, anti-codon, and T loops). The record is from RNAcentral. Lineage: Bacteria; Pseudomonadati; Myxococcota; Myxococcia; Myxococcales.
GGAGAGAUGUCCGAGUGGUUGAAGGAGCACGACUGGAAAUCGUGUAAGGGGUGUGAGCCCCUUCGAGGGUUCGAAUCCCUCUCUCUCCGCCA